CCUACGGGAGGCAGCAGUGGGGAAUAUUGCACAAUGGGGGAAACCCUGAUGCAGCGACGCCGCGUGAGUGAAGACGUCCUUCGUUAUGUAAAGCUCUAUCAGCAGGGAAGUAAAUGACGGUACCUGUGUAAGAAUCUCUGGCUAACUACGUGCCAGCAGCCGCGGUAAUACGGAGGGGGCCAGCGUGAUCCGGAUUUACUGGGUGUAAAGGGAGCGUAGACGGGAUGGCAAGUCUGGAGUGAAAGGCGGGGGCUCAACCCUCGAAUUGCUCGGGAGACUGUACGGCUGGAGUGCAGGAGAGGUAGGUGGAAUUCGUGGUGUAGCGGUGAAAUGCUUAGAUAUUAGGAGGAACACCGAUGGCGAAGGCGGCUUACUGAACUGUAACUGACGUUGAGGCUCGAAAGCGUGGGGAUCAAACAGGAUUAGAUACCCGGGUAGUC
RNAcentral lists this ribosomal RNA (440 nucleotides) under uncultured bacterium. RNAcentral's name for it is "partial 16S ribosomal RNA". It matches the Rfam family "Bacterial small subunit ribosomal RNA", at positions 338 to 795 of the family's 1533-position model. The record is from RNAcentral.